RNAcentral lists this long non-coding RNA (507 nucleotides) under Salvia miltiorrhiza (redroot sage). RNAcentral's name for it is "long non-coding RNA (SMIL_LNC005292)". The record is from RNAcentral. Lineage: Eukaryota; Viridiplantae; Streptophyta; Magnoliopsida; Lamiales; Lamiaceae.
ACAUCAAAUUAACCACUGAACAGAUUCAUUGUUUAGAAAAAAUAUUGAAAUUUAAAAGCUCACAUAAUAAGCCCCAUUCAUCAACAUAAAUCAUAGGUUCAGUCCAACAAAAUAAAAGUCUAGCAACAUAAAAAUAUCGCCAUCUAGUGCUCGUUCUUGGAGUCCAAUCCACAAAUAAUUCUUCAUUUCCCCUAGCCUUGAGACUUGAAAGCACCUGCACUGCAAACUCCAUGAAAUAUCAUUAUAAUCAUUAAUAUUUUAUAGUGUCACUUUGAUGUUUGAUCUAUCAAGAAUUACAUUAGGAAAAUAUCAAAACAUACCAGGCUAAAAUCCAUAUCAGAACAUAUACUCAUCCUGAAAAUUUCAGGAUGAAAAUAUAAGAACAUGUGCAUCCAAAUAUUCAAUUAGGAAAGGGCCUAAGUUUUAUAAUUUGUAGAGACUCAAUAUAAUUUUAUCUCAAUAAUGGAUCAAACUAACCAUCAACAGCAAUAGUGGAGACCGAGGAUG